GGUUAAGCGACUAAGCGUACACGGUGGAUGCCCUGGCAGUCAGAGGCGAUGAAGGACGUGCUAAUCUGCGAUAAGCGUCGGUAAGGUGAUAUGAACCGUUAUAACCGGCGAUUUCCGAAUGGGGAAACCCAGUGUGUUUCGACACACUAUCAUUAACUGAAUCCAUAGGUUAAUGAGGCGAACCGGGGGAACUGAAACAUCUAAGUACCCCGAGGAAAAGAAAUCAACCGAGAUUCCCCCAGUAGCGGCGAGCGAACGGGGAGCAGCCCAGAGCCUGAAUCAGUAUGUGUGUUAGUGGAAGCGUCUGGAAAGGCGCGCGAUACAGGGUGACAGCCCCGUACACAAAAAUGCACAUGCUGUGAGCUCGAUGAGUAGGGCGGGACACGUGGUAUCCUGUCUGAAUAUGGGGGGACCAUCCUCCAAGGCUAAAUACUCCUGACUGACCGAUAGUGAACCAGUACCGUGAGGGAAAGGCGAAAAGAACCCCGGCGAGGGGAGUGAAAAAGAACCUGAAACCGUGU
Molecule: ribosomal RNA, 521 nt
Filed under: Escherichia coli
Lineage: Bacteria; Pseudomonadati; Pseudomonadota; Gammaproteobacteria; Enterobacterales; Enterobacteriaceae
Description: partial 23S ribosomal RNA
Rfam family: Bacterial large subunit ribosomal RNA
Source: RNAcentral